UGUGGUAAUAGGCAUUGUGUCUAAGUUAUAUAACAUUUGGUUUAGGCAAACUAAACUAAUUAUUUGACAUAUUAACAGACAAGAGAAGCCCAUUUCUGGAACAGCAGGGGCAUAAAAAAAUGUUCCAAAGUUGGGGCUAAAAAAAUGUCAUCAACAUUAUCUAUCAACAUUUAUUUUGUUAUUUCUUUACUUUCUGAUCAGUGUUUCACUAC
This 212-nucleotide long non-coding RNA is filed under the name Mytilus galloprovincialis (Mediterranean mussel). The record is from RNAcentral. Lineage: Eukaryota; Metazoa; Mollusca; Bivalvia; Mytilida; Mytilidae.